Molecule: long non-coding RNA, 1264 nt
Organism: Alexandromys fortis (reed vole)
Lineage: Eukaryota; Metazoa; Chordata; Mammalia; Rodentia; Cricetidae
Exons: 2
Source: RefSeq, a predicted model, not a curated record
CUUCCUGGCGCAAUUUCUAUCACCUGUUUUUUCCCCUAGAGCAGUGAAUACGAACCUCACAUUUCAGGAACAAAAUGAUCAGAGAAAGGUGUUAAAACCAUGGCUCCGCUCUAGUAACCACAGUAGCCACAGCAGUUAACCACUCACUUUUUAUCCACCAGGUUUUAAAAGCACUGUGUAACGUUAUCUCAGGCUUCAGAGUCCUUAUGGUGGAUAAUGUCGUUAAUUUAAUUUUACAUAAGAAGUAACAGAUCUUUCGAAGUUAAUCCAUUUCUCCGCUCAAAAUCAAUUGAUUGCUGGUCCAUUUUUGUCCAAACCUCUCUUCUAAAUUACAAUCUCUCCAUAGUUCUGCGGACACGACUUCUUUCAAAAACAUUUUCAUUCGGUUACUCUGUUGGACAGCAUCACAUUUCGGGCAUGCAGAGGAUAUAUAUUACUUAUUAAAUAUUAUAAGGUGGGAGCUAGAGAGAUGGCUCAGAGGUUAAGGGCAUUGCCUGCUCUUCCAAAGGUCCUGAGUUCAAUUCCCAGCAACCACAUGGUGGCUCACAACCAUCUGUAAUGGGGUCUGGUGCCCUCUUCUGGCCUGCAGGCAUACACACAGACAGAAUAUUGUAUACAUAAUAAAUAAAUAAAUGUUUAAAAAAAAAAGAUCCCCCUUUUCCCUUUGGACUGUCUCUCCACACACCACAGGGCUGGGUCACAGGUGCCUGCAGCCACACCUGUGCUCAUACCACGGGACCACCUCCUCAGCCCCAACUUUUGUAGUUCUGAGGUGAUGCCAUCAAGAAGUCUUUCAACUCAGUUAUUGUACAUCAAUCAAGAAAGUGACAAUAACCCCUGGGUUGGCCCCAGCGACUUAUGCAAUGAUCUCCUUCUACCCUGACAGCGACUGUGUCUCUGCCCACUCUGCGCCCUUAGCAUCCAUCCUAGCAAAUCACACUGCUUCCAGCCUCGUCCAAGGAAGAACAGCCCUGUGAGUCACAGCAGUGAUGCCUUCGACCUCAACUUCCUAAAACUAAAUUUACUUUCCAUGCUUAUUUUAAAUAAAUAUUAAUACACAAUUAAAUUGGUACCACACUUUGCAAAUAUCAUUGAUAUCCAUUCUUUAUUUAAAAGCUUCCACAGCUGGGUAUGGCAGCUGUCUGUAAUCCCAAUAUUCAGGAGGCUGGGCAGGAGGUUCAUGAGUUGAAGGCCAACCUGGACUACCCAAUAAGUUCCAUCCAGACCAGGCUGACAUUGUCUCAAAAAAAAAAAAGAAAAGAAA